Molecule: ribosomal RNA, 600 nt
Filed under: uncultured bacterium
Lineage: Bacteria
Description: bacterial SSU rRNA
Rfam family: Bacterial small subunit ribosomal RNA
Source: RNAcentral
GUCGAACGAGAAGCCAGACUUCGGUUUGGUGGAAAGUGGCGCACGGGUGAGUAGCGCGUGGGAAUCUACCCAGCAGUGCGGGAUAACUCCGGGAAACCGGUGCUAAUACCGCAUACGCCCUUCGGGGGAAAGAUUUAUCGCUGUUGGAUGAGCCCGCGUCGGAUUAGCUUGUUGGUGAGGUAAAGGCUCACCAAGGCGACGAUCCGUAGCUGGUCUGAGAGGAUGAUCAGCCACACUGGGACUGAGACACGGCCCAGACUCCUACGGGAGGCAGCAGUGGGGAAUAUUGGACAAUGGGCGCAAGCCUGAUCCAGCCAUGCCGCGUGAGUGAAGAAGGCCUUAGGGUUGUAAAGCUCUUUCAGUGGGGAAGAUAAUGACGGUACCCACAGAAGAAGCCCCGGCUAACUCCGUGCCAGCAGCCGCGGUAAUACGGAGGGGGCUAGCGUUGUUCGGAAUUACUGGGCGUAAAGCGCGCGUAGGCGGUUGUUCAAGUUGGGCGUGAAAGCCCGGGGCUUAACCCCGGAAAUGCGUUCAAAACUGGACAGCUAGAGUCCGGAAGAGGAGAGUGGAAUUCCCAGUGUAGAGGUGAAAUUCGUAGAU